UACGUAGGGGGCAAGCGUUGUCCGGAAUUAUUGGGCGUAAAGAGCGCGUAGGCGGUCCGAUAAGUCGGCUGUGAAAGUCCAGGGCUCAACCCUGGAAAGCCGGCCGAUACUGUCGGACUAGAGUCCGGAAGAGGCAAGUGGAAUUCCCGGUGUAGCGGUGAAAUGCGCAGAUAUCAGGAGGAACACCGGUGGCGAAGGCGGGUCUCUGGGCCGAAACUGACGCUGAGGAGCGAAAGCGUGGGGAGCGAACAGG
This 253-nucleotide ribosomal RNA is filed under the name uncultured bacterium. RNAcentral's name for it is "partial 16S ribosomal RNA". It matches the Rfam family "Bacterial small subunit ribosomal RNA", at positions 524 to 776 of the family's 1533-position model. The record is from RNAcentral.